RNAcentral lists this transfer RNA (87 nucleotides) under bacterium. RNAcentral's name for it is "tRNA-Ser". It matches the Rfam family "tRNA". From Rfam's summary of the family: Transfer RNA (tRNA) molecules are approximately 80 nucleotides in length. Their secondary structure includes four short double-helical elements and three loops (D, anti-codon, and T loops). Further hydrogen bonds mediate the characteristic L-shaped molecular structure. tRNAs have two regions of fundamental functional importance: the anti-codon, which is responsible for specific mRNA codon recognition, and the 3' end, to which the tRNAs corresponding amino acid is attached (by aminoacyl-tRNA synthetases). tRNAs cope with the degeneracy of the genetic code in two manners: having more than one tRNA (with a specific anti-codon) for a particular amino acid; and 'wobble' base-pairing, i.e. permitting non-standard base-pairing at the 3rd anti-codon position. The record is from RNAcentral.
GGAAGCGUGGCAGAGAGGCCGAAUGCACCGGUUUUGAAAACCGGAAGGUCCGAAAGGGCCUCGGAGGUUCGAAUCCUCCCGCUUCCG